UCAGUGGCUCUCUUCAGAGCCACCUGGCAAAAAAGUAGAAGUUCACU
Molecule: non-coding RNA, 47 nt
Organism: Pongo abelii (Sumatran orangutan)
Lineage: Eukaryota; Metazoa; Chordata; Mammalia; Primates; Hominidae
Source: Rfam